This is a long non-coding RNA of Heterocephalus glaber (naked mole-rat), 4419 nucleotides long. NCBI's taxonomy places the organism in Eukaryota, Metazoa, Chordata, Mammalia, Rodentia, Bathyergidae. The record is from Ensembl.
CGGGUCGGGCCUGGCGCCCAGGUCACGGCCGGAGGGAGGACGCGCGCGCGCAGCCUGCAGACGGCGCGCGGACAGGGGACUCGGGGAGGCUCGAGGUGACCCCAGGGUCGCCUCACGCCGGCGGCUGGAGGUCGGGGAGUGGGAAGGCGCAGAGCAGGCCCUGGUAACCACUGGGAAUCCGAGCUGAGGGUCCGGGACAGACGCGACACCGCACCACCCGGGGCUGAGCUGAGCCUGGGUGAGAAAGGCCAUAAAUGAUUAUUCUUUCCAGACAUUUGGCAGGGAGAGGGAGAGAAAAGUAGGCCUGAGUCCAAAGGGUUGGAAGAGGAAAAAAGGGUAUUUGGGGUUUGGUUUUGUUUUUAAUUUGUUCCAGUUUGAGGGAGAGACCCGUAGAAUAGUAAAUGGUGCAAAGUCUCAGGAAAGGAGAUGGGAAGGGAGAGAGAGAAGUGAGAGAAGAGGGAACCUCUUCCUGCCAGAGUUAAAGGAUGCUUAGAGAUGAAAAGAUUUUGAAGUGAGGAAGCAGGCAUGUUCCUCUGACCAGCUGCCUGGAUCAUAAACCAGAAUCUUUUUCUGCCCCCAGGCGUGGGCAUGGCUGUGAUCCCAACACUCUGGGAGGCUGAGACAGGAAGAUCACAAGUUUUGAGUUUCAUCAGGGCAACUUGGUAUGGCUCACAGUUGGGAUCCUCUUGUCUCAGUUUUCUGAGCAGCUGGGCUAAAAACUGUACACCACUGAAUGAGGCUUUAGAAACAUUUUUUGCUAUUCAAGACUGUGCUGGGCACAGAAGCAGCCAAGAACUGAAGAAGGGGAAGUUCAUGUGUAAACAAGGCAAAGCGGCUGGAGGGAAGACUGGGAUGACCUGGACCUGACAUCAGCCUGAGAUGUAGGAUCCCAACACUGCCUUUCAGAACCCGUAUGUAGAAGAUCUCUCGUGUUUUCUCGAGAUUUGGACAUACAAAAGGACAGACACCAAGAAGAGCUUGCUAUCAUGGCUUUCCUCACAAUAGUCUGCCCUGUGCCCUCCAGGGUAUACUUUUAUUUUGCUUUUUCCUCCUUUACUUGGCCCAAGCUGGCUCUGCAGAGCCAGUUUCUCCCUCACUCUUCACUUUCACUUUUUCAAAUAAACUUUGUUACUAUUUUUUUGCUGGUUUCAUUCAAUUCUUUGUUCUAGAUGAGAAGAACCUGGAAUCCAACUCCAGGAGAUGCGAGCACCACAAAACCCAGUAACGUUUAUUUGGGGAGCCACUUUUAGGAGCUACCUGGUAACACUCUUGCCUCAGGCUCAAGAGUUAACUGAAAUUCUGGGCAUGAGCCAACACAAGUGGCCCAAAUUGUUUUUUAAACCAAUUUGCAGUUCCAGCAUUGCAUAUGAGGUUCUAUUCAUUCAUAUCUACUCCAGCACUUGGUACGAAUUCUGACUUCUUAAUUCUGGCUACUCAGGAAUCAAAUUUCACUGUGGUUUGGAUUUGUGCUUCUCUGACUAUGGAUGAUGUCAAACAUAGCUUCAUAUAUAAAAAAGCUUCAUCUUCAGGGAAAUAUCUAUUCAUAACCUUUGCCCAUUGUUCAAUUGGUUGACUGUCCUUUCUUCAGUGAUUUUGCUAAUUCUUUGACAUUAUGAGGGUUCCCUUUGGAACUCAGGUGGUCAGAAUUGAAUUAAUCUUCAUGUGAUAUGAUCCCCCCCUUGAUUAGAAAAGCAAUGCCCACGUGUUGUAAAAAAAAACAUGUCAAGGGGCUGGGGUGUAGCACUUGGCUAGCAAGUGCUAACGUUCUGGGUUCCAUUGCCAAAACUACAAACAAAACCGACCAAACAAAAAAUGUGUGAAGAGCACAGACAUGCUUAACUUCUACUCAUUUUUGUAGUGCUGAGGCCUGAACUCAGGCCUCAAAGGCAUAGCUGGGUGAGGACUCCACUGCUGAGCCUAUACCCGAAGCCCUAAGAUGUGUACCUUGGAAAGAAAAGCCUCCUUUGCCAUCCCUCCACCCCACCUCAAGCAAGAAUUAACUCCAGUUUGUCGUUCCAUACUUUGGGUCUCUGUUUCCACACUUCCCUCAGAUUCAAUCCAUAUCUUCUCAAGGGUAAGGUCUGGUUGUAUCACCUUUACAUUCCCAACCCUGGUACAGUAACCAGCUCAAUCAGAAAUGGGUUUUUUUUUUUGUUUUUUGGGGGUUUUUUUUGGUACUGGGGAUCGAACUCGGGUCCUUGCACUUUCAAAGCAGGCAGCGAAAUCACUGAGCUAAAUCCCUGGUCCUCAAUCAGAGAUGUAACACAUUAUUAUUGAAUGUACUACUGACAGGUAUUAAAACAGAGCUCCUAAUGUUACAAGGAGAUUGCCGUGUGACCAGGGCAGAGAAUUUGAGUGAGAGAAAAAUGAGAGAUAUACAUGUUGUAAGGUGUGUGUGGACUGAUUACUAAAUCUUGGCUGUUGGAGCCAGGGUAUAGUGGCACACACCUGUGAUCCCAGCACUCAGGAAGCUGAGGCAGGAGGUUCACUGCAAGUUCCAGACCAGCCUGGACUACAUAGUGAGUUGAAGGCCAGCCUAAACUACAUAGUGAGACCCUGUCUUUAAAAAACAAAACUAAAAAAAAGUCUUGACUGGGUUGGACAAAAAGUGUUUUUUCAUUUGUUUUGCUGUGCCAAGGAUCAAACCCAGGGCCUCAGGCAUGCUAGGCAAGUGUUCUGCCACUGAGCUGCUCCCCAGCCCCAAGUGUUUUAUCCUGAAGCUAACAAGGAAGCAUUUAAGAGUUUUUAGAGGGCGGAAAUUCUUUGUUCUUAUAUUUUUACCAGGGACAACUGAAACAAGGCAUUAACAAUCUCUUCAUCUAAUAGCUGUGUACAGUAUGUAAGGGGAGGAGAAGGGAACAAUGGAACUAGAGACAGAAGAAUGAGUGAGUCAACAGGCACGAACUAACCUAAGCCCAAGCACUUUUCAGGAAGCCCAGCUCAGCAGGCUAUCGUAGGACUGAGAACACAUAUUCCCACAUAUGUCUUUUGUUUUGUUUUGUUUUGUUUUGAUUCUGCACACCAGGGACUAAACCCACAGGCUCUCUGGCAUUGAGUUACACCCCAGCCCUUUUUGUUUUUAAUUUUUUUUUUUUAUCUUGAGAUAGGGUCUUGCUACAUUGCCCAGGCUAGGCUUGAACUUGUAGUCCUCUUGCCUCAGCCUCCUAGAGUGCUGGCACUACAGGCAUGUGCUACCAUGCUCAGCUCCAGUAUGGCACGCUUCCUGAGCUCCCAUGUGCCAGGUGCUGUACUAAGUGCUGGGAACAGAUGCCAUCUGGCCCUGGGCAGAAGGUGCCAUGCCCAUUGCCAGGUGACCUCAACUGACUACUGGCACUGUCUGUACCCCACAGGUGUCCUCAGCCAUCCCGUGAUGCCCAUGGAAUCCGGGGUGUGCAGUGGAGCCCUGGUGGGGCUUUUAAGCCUGAGCCAGUGAGAAGUGAGGCAGGGUAGGGAGGAGCAACAGCCUAGCCUUGGUCUCCAGAACCCUGGCUGACGUGAGGAGGACAGUGGUACCAGGCUAGAAGGACCUGCAGCACUGAUAUUCUGCCCUAUCCCCAAAGGUGCCCAGGUGGCAGGAGGGAGGGAGCAGGCAAAGGUAGGAUUGAGCUCAGGCAGGAGGACACUGACCCUGUGAGCUGAGCCCGAAGGGUGGAGCUCUGCAGGUGCAGCUCCUGACCCUGAAGCAACCACAAGCCAUGGAGAAAAAAUGUCACCAGUGUCACCACAGGGGAGGGGCAAGGAGAGAGGGACAGUUGUGACACACCAUGGCAGGGGCAAGGACAGUGUGUGCCAGUGAACUGAGAGGGACACAGAUCUGCAUGGUUGGGGAUAUUCUGAUGGCCACAGGAACCACAGGAGGGGGAGCAGCCACGAAGAACAGGGGCAGAGAGGUGACUGUGGGAUUUGCCACAUGGCUGGCAGUGAAGGCUAAAGUAUGGCUUGAGGGGUGCUAGUGUCAGAGCAGGUGACACAUGCCACAGACCAAAGGAGAGCAAGGAAGGUAGAGCAGGAAACCACAUAGGCGCCAUCCAAGAACCUUGACUCUGAAAUGAAACAGAAAGUAAGACAUUAACCAGAGAGAAUUCCAGAGCCCAGGGAGGUAGAUUUUUCUUGCUAAAGGUCAGGAAAGUUUUUUUGUUUUUUUUUGUUGUUUUGUUUUUCAGACAAAGCAGCACUGUAGAUAAGUACUAGAGGAAAGAAAGAUGCGGCCUGAAAAUGUAGUUUGACCCGAGACACUGAUACAAUCCAGCAGUGGACAGCAAGCACCCUGGUUCAAGGCUGCCUUGCCAUGUGCUGAGAGUUGAGGAAGCUGGGAUCACACUGCUAAUAAAUGGCUAGGCAGGAGCCAAAGCCAGGUCAUGUGACUCCAAAGCAUGGAUACUCACUACCCCUGUACCUGAGACAGGUGGAAACAUGCAC